GAGCAGGAUCUAGGUACAAUGUAGCAGUGAAGUGCUGCCUUGUUUUUACUCCUUGCUCAAAAGAAAACUGUGACCUUCCGAGCCCUGCUUGCUUCGGUUACCCAGGCAGCAGGGAUGCUUGGUCUCAUACAG
This 132-nucleotide small nucleolar RNA is filed under the name Meriones unguiculatus (Mongolian gerbil). Its description in RNAcentral is "Small nucleolar RNA SNORA63 (ENSMUGG00000008872.1)". Lineage: Eukaryota; Metazoa; Chordata; Mammalia; Rodentia; Muridae. The record is from RNAcentral.